GUUUACGGCCAUACCACGCUGAAAUUGCCAGUUCUCGUCAGAACACUGAAGCCAAGCAGCGUCGGGCGCGGUUAGAGUACUUGGAUGGGUGACCGCUUGGGAACACCGCGUGCUGUAAGCU
Molecule: ribosomal RNA, 121 nt
Organism: Harmonia axyridis
Lineage: Eukaryota; Metazoa; Arthropoda; Insecta; Coleoptera; Coccinellidae
Source: RefSeq, a predicted model, not a curated record